UACGGGAGGCAUCAGUGGGGAAUAUUGCACAAUGGGCGCAAGCCUGAUGCAGCCAUGCCGCGUGUAUGAAGAAGGCCUUCGGGUUGUAAAGUACUUUCAGUCGUGAGGAAGGUGUUAAGGUUAAUAACCUUAGCAAUUGACGUUAGCGACAGAAGAAGCACCGGCUAACUCCGUGCCAGCAGCCGCGGUAAUACGGAGGGUGCGAGCGUUAAUCGGAAUUACUGGGCGUAAAGGGCACGCAGGCGGUUAAUUAAGUUGGAUGUGAAAUCCCCGGGCUUAACCUGGGAAUGGCAUUCAAGACUGGUUAGCUAGAGUCUUGUAGAGGGGGUAGAAUUCCAUGUGUAGCGGUGAAAUGCGUAGAGAUGUGGAGGAAUCCGGUGGCGAAGGCGGCCCCUGGACAAAGGCUGACGCUCAUGUGCGAAAGCGUGGGGAGCAAACG
This 439-nucleotide ribosomal RNA is filed under the name uncultured bacterium. Its description in RNAcentral is "bacterial SSU rRNA". It matches the Rfam family "Bacterial small subunit ribosomal RNA", at positions 340 to 774 of the family's 1533-position model. The record is from RNAcentral.